This 421-nucleotide long non-coding RNA is filed under the name Numida meleagris (helmeted guineafowl). Its description in RNAcentral is "lncRNA (ENSNMEG00000023210.1)". Lineage: Eukaryota; Metazoa; Chordata; Aves; Galliformes; Numididae. The record is from RNAcentral.
GGCCUUUAAACUGUUGUAAAUCAGCAGUAGCCUCAGGGGUAUUAAAGGAUGUUACACCAGUAAGUUGCCCGAAUAACAGCACAGUCACUUAAAGGGUUCAGUGCAAAAUUUAGGUUUGAACUCAUAGUUCUGGAAGAACUCUAUCUAAACUCUCUGAUGCGGUCCUGUCCUUUGUCCCUAAGCAUUUUGUUAUGUUUUGUUUAGGAAAUAAUUUCUGACAGAAUAGAAACACCAAUAAAGAUCAGAUUCACUAAAGAAGAAAGGUAAUUGAUUCUGAUACAGCAACAUCACUGUGUGGGUGGAAGAAGAGCGCCGGAAGAACUGAUCAUCUCACAAAAGGAAAAAGAACAUUGUUUUUACCACCAGAAAUGAUAUUUAAUUUUGUCUGGGCUUUUAGAGCUUAUUUAUUUGACACUAUUUC